This 3183-nucleotide ribosomal RNA is filed under the name Triticum aestivum (bread wheat). RNAcentral describes it as "partial small subunit ribosomal RNA". Lineage: Eukaryota; Viridiplantae; Streptophyta; Magnoliopsida; Poales; Poaceae. The record is from RNAcentral.
AUGCUUCCGACGAAGAGAGCGGACGGCGCUGAGGACAGCGGCGACGCGGCGGCGAAGAAGGCACGGGUAGGGGAAUCGGCGGCGGAGGCGGGGUCGGAGGCCAUGGUUGCCGGGGAGCCGGUCGGCGGGGGCAGUAACGGGAACGGGGUGGCGGAGAUCGAUGAGGACCUUCACAGCAGGCAGCUCGCCGUGUACGGGAGGGAGACGAUGCGGCUGCUAUUUGCGUCCAACGUGCUCGUCUCCGGCUUAAACGGGCUUGGGGCUGAGACCGCAAAGAAUCUUGCUCUGGCGGGUGUUAAAUCUGUCACCCUACAUGAUGUAGAAAAUGUGGAUAUGUGGGACCUAUCUGGCAAUUUCUUUCUAUCUGAGGAUGAUAUUGGGAAGAACAGGGCUGCUGCUUGCGUUGAAAAGCUGCAAGAACUUAACAAUGCUGUUCUUAUAUCUGCUCUGAAGGAAGAACUGACUACUGAACACCUUUCUAAGUUCCAGGCUGUUGUUUUCACCAACUUAAGUCUAGACAAGGCGGUUGAAUUUAAUGAUUACUGUCGUAGCCACCAGCCUCCAAUUCCAUUCAUCAAAACAGAAGUCUGUGGUCUUUUUGGUAGCGUAUUUUGUGACUUUGGGCCUAAGUUUACUGUUCUUGAUGUUGAUGGUGAAGAUCCCCAUACUGGUAUAAUUGCAUCCAUCAGCAAUGACAAUCCUGCAAUGGUUUCCUGCGUUGAUGAUGAGCGCCUUGAAUUCCAAGAUGGUGAUCUUGUUGUUUUCACAGAGGUCAGUGGGAUGACAGAACUGAAUGAUGGCAAGCCCAGGAAGAUAGUAGAUGCAAGGCCAUUUUCAUUUUGCAUCGAGGAGGAUACACGUAACUUUGGCAUUUAUGCAAAAGGUGGGAUUGUCACACAGGUGAAAGAACCAAUGAUCUUAGAGUUCAAGAGUCUGAGAGAAUGUAUAAAAGAACCAGGGAACUUCCUUUUGAGUGAUUUCUCAAAGUACCAGCGUCCUCCGCUGCUUCACUUCGCAUUUCUAGCCUUGGAUAAUUUCAGACAAAAGUUUGGGCGCUUCCCUGUUGCUGGUUGUGACCAGGAUGCUCAAAAAUUUGUGGAGUUUACUGCUUCUAUUAACGAGGCUGCAAUUGAUUACAAGAUGGAUGAACUUGAUGAGAAGCUGCUGCAACAUUUUGCAAGUGGUUCUAGAGCUGUUCUGAACCCAAUGGCUGCAAUGUUUGGUGGUAUUGUUGGUCAAGAAGUUGUGAAGGCUUGUUCCGGGAAAUUUCACCCGCAGUACCAGUUCUUCUAUUUUGACUCGUUAGAAUCUCUGCCAACCUAUGCAUUGGACCCUAAAGACUUGAAGCCAUUGAAUAGCCGCUACGAUGCUCAGAUUUCUGUUUUUGGUUCUAAGCUUCAGAAGAAGAUGCGGGACUCUAAUAUUUUUGUUGUGGGAUCUGGUGCUCUUGGAUGUGAAUUCUUGAAGAACUUUGCUUUAAUGGGGGUUUCUUGUGGCCGUAAAGGGAAGCUAACUAUAACAGAUGAUGAUGUCAUUGAGAAAAGCAACUUGAGCCGGCAAUUCCUGUUUCGUGAUUGGAACAUUGGACAGGCAAAAUCUACAGUAGCCGCUACAGCUGCUAGUGCUAUCAACUCCAGCCUCCAUAUUGAUGCUCUUCAGAAUCGUGCCUGUCCAGAGACUGAACAUGUUUUCAAUGAUGCAUUCUGGGAGGGCCUUGAUGCUGUCAUCAAUGCACUUGAUAAUGUCAACGCUAGGAUGUACAUGGACAUGCGAUGCCUGUACUUCCAGAAACCACUCUUGGAAUCUGGAACACUGGGUCCGAAAUGUAAUACACAGAUGGUGAUUCCUCACCUUACUGAAAACUAUGGAGCUUCACGUGAUCCUCCUGAGAAACAGGCACCAAUGUGCACAGUUCAUUCUUUUCCACACAAUAUUGACCAUUGUCUAACAUGGGCUCGCUCAGAGUUUGAGGGUCUGCUAGAGAAAACUCCAAAUGAAGUGAACUCAUUUAUGUCUAAUCCUGCUGAAUAUGCUGCUGCUAUGAGAAAGGCAGGUGAUGCUCAAGCCAGGGAAUUGUUGGAGCGUGUACGUGAAUGCCUUGACAAGGAGCGAUGUGAUAAAUUUGAAGACUGCAUAGCCUGGGCAAGACUGAAGUUUGAAGAUUACUUCUCUAAUCGUGUGAAGCAGCUAACGUUCACAUUUCCUGAAGAUGCUGCCACUAGCACUGGUGCUCCUUUCUGGUCAGCCCCUAAGCGUUUCCCUUGCCCGGUGCAAUUCUCAGCUGUUGAUUCAUCUCACAUUCAAUUUAUACUGGCUGCUUCCAUAUUGAGAGCCGUGUCUUUCGGGAUCCCCAUACCGGACUGGGCGAAGAACAUGGGUAAUCUGGCUGAUAUAGUAAGUAAGGUUGCAGUGCCUGAAUUUGAGCCAAAGAGUGGGGUUAAGAUUGAAACAGAUGAGAAGGCCACUAACCUCUCCAGUGCAUCAGUUGACGAUGCCGCUGUUAUCGAAGACCUUUUAACCAAGCUGGAAGCAUGUGCCAAGAAACUACCUUCAGGAUUCCAAAUGAAGCCCAUUCAGUUUGAGAAGGAUGAUGAUACAAAUUUCCACAUGGACUUGAUUGCUGGUCUUGCUAAUAUGCGUGCGAGAAACUAUGGUAUUCAAGAGGUUGACAAGCUGAAGGCCAAGUUCAUUGCAGGAAGAAUCAUUCCAGCUAUUGCAACUACGACAGCCAUGGCCACAGGCCUUGUGUGCCUUGAGCUGUACAAGGUUCUGGCAGGUGACCACCCAGUUGAAGACUACCGCAAUACGUUUGCCAACCUGGCACUACCAAUGUUCUCCAUGGCUGAACCUGUACCGCCCAAGGAGAUGAAGCAUCAAGACAUGAGAUGGACAGUAUGGGACCGAUGGUCUAUCAAGGGCAACAUUACUGUCGCAGAACUCCUGAAGUGGUUAAGCGACAAGGGCCUGACUGCUUACAGCGUCUCCUGUGGCACAUCCUUGCUGUACAACACCAUGUUCCCGAGGCACAAGGAUCGACUGAAGAGGAAGAUGGUGGAUGUCGCCCAGGAGGUGGCUAAGGUAGAUGUUCCAGCAUACAGGAAGCAUUUUGAUGUUGUUGUGGCUUGCGAGGAUGAUGACGGGAACGACAUUGAUAUUCCUCUUAUCUCCAUUUACUUCCGAUAG